Molecule: transfer RNA, 73 nt
Filed under: Stegodyphus mimosarum
Lineage: Eukaryota; Metazoa; Arthropoda; Arachnida; Araneae; Eresidae
Rfam family: tRNA
About the family: Transfer RNA (tRNA) molecules are approximately 80 nucleotides in length.
Source: Rfam by way of RNAcentral
GCCUUCGUGGUGUAGUGGUCAGCUCGCUCGGCACGUAUUCGAGAGGUCCGUGGUUCGAAUCCCGGCGAGGGUA